GUCUUUCGUCCACUCUUCUCUCAGCGGGCGCUCCACGGCCCUGCUCUGGGCUCGCCUGAGUGCUGGGCUCUGCAGACGCAGGGAUGGGCCAGGCGAGCCCCUCACCACGGAGGUAGCAGGUCCAGAGGAAGCAGCAGAGGCUUCCUGGAGGAGGUGACAGGCGGAUCAGAGGCUGAGGGAUGUCUAGGAGUGAGCCUGGGCGGGAGGGGAAAUGAUGUUACAGGACGAACAGGCCUGUGCAGUGUGCGCGUGGGGCGGGGGAGGGAGGGAUAGGGGUGAGAUCCCAAGAUGUGGAUGAGCAGGGAGAAGCUGGGGGCGCAGGGCUGGACCCCUGCACCUGUCAUGGGCUCCGGCUGGGAUAUUAUAAAUCCCUGUGGCUGGUUUGGUUUCCGUGCCAUGUGCAUCUGUGCAUGUUGCACGCUCAUGUGAUCAUGGGGACGUGAGGCAGGUGGAUUGGGCCUGGUGCACAGACUAUUCAUCGUCGUUAAGUACGCUCCAGGCCCCUAGUCAGAGGGGCAACCAGGGGGGGCCCGCAGGGAAGACAAGGAAUCCUCGCUGUGAUGGAGAAAGACGAGGUCUGUGGGGCGGGCCGGGCGGGGGGGAAGGGGAGGGCACGGAAGGGAUGCCAUCCCUGCCGCUAGGGGCCGCGCACCUAGGCCCGCGCUGUCCGCCCCUGCUGUCUUCUGCAGGAAGGAGAAGGCACCUCUUCCUCUGGAGGGCUGCAGCCCGCCUCACCCACACUGGGGAGAAUGGGUGCGGAGAGCGAGCUGGGAUUCGAUUUCAGCCUCAGACUUGUGAGCCGGGUCCAACCCACACAACCUUCUUUAGAGAAUGAGAUUCCAGGGCAUUGGCCACUCAAAACAACCGGCCUGCAGGUGCCAAGAGCCAGUGUUAGGUCCACCCUCCCUCCCCUCUUGCCCCUUCACCUCCCUCGCGGAUGGGCAGGUGCUGUUAGCCCUUGGCCUGGAAACCACCCUGUCUCCUCAGCAGCCUCCUGAGCCGUAGUCCCCCAAAGGGCAGCCCAGCGGCAAUAUCUGUGGCCACCCCACCAGAAAGGGACUUAGAUCCCCAGAGAGCCCGGCACGGUGCUCCUGCCAUCAUCACCCCUCCUGUCCCUUGUUCAUUCAGUCAUUCAGCAAGCAUUUCAGGCCCUGUUCUGUGCCAACCCUGUGCUGGGCCUGCGGGUACCAAGGUGAAUCAGGCAUGGUGCCAGCCCCGGAGAGGUCCCUGACCUGUGGGGAGACAGACCAUUAGCACACAGACAACGAAAUGCAGGCGUCCUUUCACCUAUAUGUGCCAAACGCCCUUCAAGGCUCAAGGAUACAGUGGAAACAGAUAAGGUUCCUCCCUGCUCUCCUGCAGUUAUGUCUUAGUUGGAAGAGAUACACACAAAAGCAGGAAAACAAAAGAUUAUUUCAGGUCAUCAUAACUUCUAUGGAAAAAACAAAACAGACCCAGGUGAGAGCAAUGGGGGUAACUGUAGAGGUGAUCAGGCAAGGCCUCACAGAGGAGGUGACAUUUCACUGAAUGGCAAGAUGGAUCCUGACCCAUGAAGAUCAGGCGGAAGGGCAUUCUUGGCAAAGGGAAUGGCAAUCAAGGAUUUGUACCCCUAGGAGGACUAUGUCUUCCUCAUCUUUGUCUUCAGAGGAUAAAUACAAGGCCUGACACAUAACAAGCAUGAGAUUAAUUUACCCGAGGUCAACCACGGUCCAAAGAUAUUAAAUGGAAAAUUCCAGAAAUAAACAAUGUGUAAGUUUUCAGUUGCAUGCUAUUCUGAGUAGCAGGAUGAAAUCUCGUGCUGUCCGGCUUCGUCCCACCUGGGAUGUGAAUCAUCCCUUUGUCCAGUGGAUCCGCGCUAUAGACACUACUCUCCCAUCAGUCACUCAGCAGCUGCUUCAGUUCCCAGAUCAACUGUCGCAGGAUCGCAGUGCUUCUGUUCAAGUAAUCCUUAUUUUACUUCAUUAUGGGCUCCAAAGCACAAGAGGAGUGUUGCUGGUGAUUCCGAUAUGCCAAAGGAAAGCUGUAAAGUACUUCCUUUAAGUAGAAAGGUGAAAGUACUUGACUUAAUAAGAAAAUUUAAAAAACAAAAUUGUAUGCUGUGGUUGCUAAGAUCUACAGUAAGAAUGAUUCUAUUCAUGAAAUCGUGAAGAAGGAAAGAAAUUUGUGCUAGUUUUGCUGUUGCAACUCAAGCUGCAAAAGUUACAACACCUGUGUGUGAUGAGUGCUUAGUAAUGAUGGAAAAGCCAUUAAAUUUGUGGGUGCAAGACACGGACAGAAACGUUCUGAUUGACGGCAAUCAGGUUCCAUUGGGGGUAUUGGAACACAUCCCUGAGGAUAAUGGGGGACUACUGUAUUCUACCAACUUAUUCCUCUUGAAGAAUUCCCUUUCGGAUUUCUGACUGCUGAGUCCUGGACUGGUUGAUGGCAAGGCCAGCUGCCCUGGUUGUCACCUGGAGACUGUGCUGCACUUUUCUCCUGGGUCGAACCCCUCAAUUCCUAGAUCCCACGUCUUCCCCUUCUGGGUUCACUACCUUAUUUGGGGGAACAUAUACCCAUAGCUUUCUUUUUGUUUUAUUUUUUGUUUACCUAUUUAUUUAUCUUAUUUUAUUUUUUGAGACGGAGUCUCCCUCUGUUGCCCAGUCUGGAGUGCAGUGGUGUGACCUCGUCUCACUGCAGCCUCCACCCCCCAGGUUCAAGCAAUUCUCCUGCUUCAGCCUCCCAAGUAGCUGGGACUACAGGUACGUGCCACCAUGUCUGGCUAAUUUUUGUAUUUCUAGUAGAGAUGGGGUUUCUCCAUGUUGGCCAGGCUAGUCUCAAAUUCCUGACCUCAGGUGAUCCAACCGCCUUGGCCUCCCAAAGUGCUGGGAUUGCAGGCAUAAGCCACUGCGCCUGGCCCCAUGUAUACCUAUACUUUUCUAAAAGGAUGUGUUUGGGGUGAAAUCUUAAGACCUUGCCUUUCUAAAAGUGCCUCACAUUUAAUCAGAUAGUUUGACCAGGUAUAAAUUUCUAAACUGGAAAUAUUUUUCCCUCUGAAUUUUGAAGGCUUGCUCCAUUGUCUUCCAGUUUCUGCUGAAAAGUCUGAGGCCAUUCUGUUUCCUAAUCUUUUCUAGAGACUCUGUUCUCUCUUUCUGGAAGCUGUGUCCUCAGUGGGUCUUUUCUUUUAAGAGAAGGGAUCCCAUCGCCACCGAGGCUGGAGUUCAGUGGCACAAUCAUCGCUCACUGCAGCCUUGACCUCCUGGGCUCAAGGAUCCUCCUGCCCCAGCCUCCUGAGUAGUUAGGACUACAGGCUCAUACCACCAUGCCUGCUCAGCCUUAGUGUGUCUUGAAGUGAAUCGAUUUCCAUUCACUGUGCUGGGUACCCAGUGAGUCCUCACGGACAAACUAAUCAUCUUCAUUUUGGAGAAAAUUUAAAAGAAGUACCUCUAUAAUGAUUUUAUUUUUUCUUUCAGGAACUCCUUAAUUAUUCAAAUACUGGCCCUCCUGGAGCAGUUCUCUAUAUUUCUUAUAUCCUUUUUCCACCUAUUUUUCAUCCCAUUUUGCUCUUCAUUCUGGAAAUGUUCUUCAACUCUUCAACAGUUUUUUGUUGUUUUUCAAAAAUUUAUCUUAUCAUAUUUCCAAAAGCCUUUUGUUUGUUCUUUGACUAUUCCUUUUUUUAGAGUAUCUCGUUCUUUUCUCACGGAUGCAAUAUUUUCUCUUAUUUCUUUGAGGAUGUUAGUAAUGUUUUGUUGUUGUUUCUGUUGAAGUGUUUCUCACCAUGCCUAAUCUCUUCUUUGUCCAAGUUAAUUUUUUUUUCUGAUUGUUGAAAAGACAAGCCACAUACUGGGAGAAUAUAUUACAGCACAAAUAACGCACAAAGCAUUACUAUCCGGAAUACAUAAGUAAUUCUUACAAAUUGGUAAGAAGACAACUCAAUUAAAAAAGAGCAAAAGAUAUGAAUGAGCAUUUCACAGCAGAAAAAUAUGAAUGAAAAAUAAACCACAAGAAAAGAUUCUCAGCCUUAUAGAAAUCAGGAAAAUGUAAAUUAAGACCACAGGAAGAUUUUCCAUGGAAAAGAAGUCCCAUAGUGGCAAGUAUUGGAGAGGCAGGAAUCAACAGGGAUCCUUAUAUGCUCCUAAUGCAGUGUAAAUUGCUGCAACCACUUUAGAAUAUUGCGAUUUCAUUACUAAGUGUAAACCCUGGAGAUACACUUGCAUGCAAGCACCCAGAGACAGGUGCAAGGAUAUUCAUAGCAGUGCUGUUUAUUAUGGUAAAAACAUGGAAACCACCCUAAUGUCCUUAACAGUAAAAUUAAUUAAUUGUGGCAUCACCAUAUAAUGAAAUCCUAUACAGCAGUGGCAAUGAGUCUAACAUAGCUGUGGCUGGAUACAGAAGGAAUCAUAGAAUUAUAAUGCGGAGUGAGAAAAGCCUGUUGCAGAAGACUACAUACAACAGGAUUUGACACUUGUAAGGCUCCAAAACAAAGAAAAUUAAAUGAUAUUGUUUAGGUUUUCAUACAUAGGUGAUAAAAGUGUGUUUCUUUGUUUUUAAUGAGAAAAUUAGUCACAGAAUUUAAGAUCUUAGUUACUUCUAUAGGGAAGGCAGGGGAAUGGGACAAGGAGGAAGCCCACAGCAUUGGUCAUGCUCUCAUGUUGAAGUUGGGUUCAAAGGUGUUCAUUAUUAAAAUGCUUCAUAAUGAUGACCAUACAUUUGGUAUUUCUAGGACAAUCUUGGUUUACAUCUAUUGUCUCAACAUAAUUAUUCAGUGCAAGCCUUUCCUUUCUCAGAAAGGUCCUAAUGUAGAUAAUAAAUUAUUUUGGCCAACUUAUUUCUUAUAAAAUGCAACAUGCAUCUCUUUUGUAUGUAUCUAUUAUUCCAUAAUCUAUACAGGUGUUUUUGUUUUUUUGUUUUUGUUUUUGUUGUCAUUGUUGUUGUUUGUUUGUUUUUUUGAGACAAGCCUCUCUCUGUUGCCCAAGCUAGAGUAAAGUGGCACGAUCUGAGCUCACUGCAACCUCCGCCUCCGGGUUCAAGCGAUUCUUGUGCCUCAGCUUAUCAGGUAGCUGGGACUACAGGCACCCACCACCACAUCUGGCUAAAUUUUUGUAUAUUUAGUAGAGACAGGGUUUUGCCAUGUUGCCCAGGCUGAUCUCGAACUCCUGGCCUCAAGUGAUCUGCCCACCUCAGCCUCCCAAGGCUAGGAUUACGCUAAGAUUAUAGACAUAAAUCAGCGCACCUGGCCUCCAUAAUCGAUAUAGUUUUUAAUACUGGGGCCACAGCCUGGCCACAGUCUCAUGGGAUGUUUGUGGUUUGACCCUAACAACCUUGUGAACCAGCCUGGGUAACUGUCCUUGGGGCCUCAAUGAACCAAGCCCUGGAGCACCCAGUCCCCAGAUCCUUCUGGCCACUCUGACUCCCUGUGCCCUGGACCCCACACCUCACCUGUCCUGGGCCCCACUCUGUCCUCUCCUCCACUUCUCACUGCCUGUGGAGCCAUCUUCCAGGGGCCCUGAAACCUCACCCACAAUCCAGGUCCACCCAGGGCCCCUGUGCCAGGCCCCAUGCUGGGUGAUAUUGGGGAACCAUCUUGGGGGCAGCUGGAGAUGGAAACCGUGACAACCCAGUGGAUCAAGGCUAUGGCACAGACCAGGCUGUGACACUGCAGAGGAGAGGGCUUAGCCCAACCUGGGGCCCAGGGAAGGCUGCCUGGAGCUGUUUUGAAGUCUGACGGGAGUGAGCUGGGUAGGGAAAGUGGGGGGAAGAGUGCUCCGGGCAGACAGGACAAAGUGCAGACAGUAGGGUAAGGAGGCACGGUGGGGGACGCAGCUCACAUGUUGCUGUGAGCAGAGCACAGAGCACAGGGCAGUGCCUGGCAGAAGUGGGUCUGGAAAGGGUGCCUCCUGGAGCCAUGAAUGCCAAGCCCAGGGUCUUGGACUGUAUCCUGAAGGCAGCAAGGAGGCACUGAAGGCAUUAGAGCGAAGCAAGGAGAACUGUCAGGCCAGGUGAGUCAUAUCAAGUGAGGUGAGAGUGAAAUUGGGAGAGAGAAGCGGAAAGAGACAAGGCAGCAGAGACAUUUUAUUGUUCUGCUUCGUCCUGGAAACCCACUCCCUGACAGCCUCCUCCCCCUGUCCUGCACCCACCACCCCCACACCUAUCCAUACACACACUGCAGAGCCGGUAGGGGAGGAAUAGCUCUGUGGUCUUGUGUGCAGGUGCUGCUAUGGGACUUCCUGGGUUCACAUCCCAACCUUGCCACUUGUCCUACCUGUGUAACUUUGGGCAGUGGCUCAAUGUCUCCAUGUGUCCAGUUUCCCUGUAAAAUGAGGAUGAUGGAAGUACUUACCUCACUGAAGCUUAACUGAGUCACAGGGGCCUGGCACAUAGUAAGCUCUCAAUCACUGUGAGCCGUCAUGGUCACUGGGGUGACACCACCUGCUCUCCUCCAAAACAGAGGAGACUAUACCCAAGGAAGAAGAAACCAGAGAAAGGACAGGAAGGUUUGGUGGCAGCGACUAGUCUCGAGACGGCAGUCCCCAGAACAGGGCUGGAUGUGUCCCCACCAGUAGACAGGCCCAGAUGCAAGGCCUCUGAUGUGUCUGCCGCUGCAGCCUCCAUUCCUAGGGUGGUGACUCAAUAAAUAUGUGCUGAAUGAAUGAAUGAAUGAAUGAAAUGUCAUGACUUCCAGGUACCCCACUGAUGUGGUUUGACUGUGUCACCACCUAAAUCUCAUCUUGAAUUGUAGCUCCCACAAUCAGGUGUUGUGGGAGGGACGUGAAUCAUGGGGGUGGGUUUUUCCCAUGCUGUUCUCGUGAUAGUGACUAAGUCUCACAAGAUCUGAUGGUUUUAUAAAGGGCAGUUCCCCUACACACGCUUUCUUGCCUGCCACCAUGUAAGAUGUGCCUUUGCUCCUCCUUCAUCUUCCGCCAUGAUUGUGAGGCCUCCUCAGCCAUGUGGAAUUGUGAGUCCAUUAAACCUCUUUUUCUUUAUAAAUUAUCAAGUCUCAGGUAUGUAUUUAUAGCAGCAUAAGAACAGACUAAUACACCCACCUACAAAUAAAGCCCUGAGGUCUCUUCCCCGCCCUUGCUUGGGUGGGUGCAGUGAGUGGAAUGUGUAGUCCCUGAUGCACCAUCUCCGGCCCUUACAGUUUAUGGCUCCUCACUGGGCUGUGUCCAGCAACAUCUAUCCUGCUGUUUCCCCUACUCUGGGCUGUCCCUGCUCUUGCCGCUUUCCUGGGGAGUGGGUGAGGACUGAGGGACACUCAGCCCCAGCCUGGGGACCCAGGGACGAGGAGACACCUCGGGAGGGCUGGGUCACUUCAGGCAAUUACCUUCACCUCUCUAAGCCUCUUGAAAAUGGGCAGAAUGAUCCCUAGGUGUCAGAGGUAUGGAGAGCAUCAUGGGAGAUGACAUCCCUGAAGUGAGGCACACUGUGAUCUGUGUGUCAGCAUUGGCAGGCUGGGAAUAGGGUGAACCUGUGAGGCACCUGGGGUGCAAGUUCUCCCUGGGUCUGGCCCUGUGCUUGGUAAAUGCUGCCUUUUACUACAUAAGGGACAAGUCUGUCAAGAGUGCCUGAGCAAUGGCCUGCAGCCGGGCCUGGGGACAGGGCUUUCCUGGGCUGGUGAUGGUCUGAAGCCCAAGUGGCAAGAAGAAAACUGGAGCCAAGAGGCCCCUUCCACUCAGGACCAGCCUCUCCCCACCCCUCACCCCAUACUCCCCAGGAGCCCAAUAGACACAUCAUUUCUCUUCCCCUCCAUGAGUGAG
This 7733-nucleotide long non-coding RNA is filed under the name Homo sapiens (human). RNAcentral describes it as "non-protein coding LINC01771:13". The record is from RNAcentral. Lineage: Eukaryota; Metazoa; Chordata; Mammalia; Primates; Hominidae.